GAUGAACGCUGGCGGCGUGCCUAACACAUGCAAGUCGAACGGAGAUUACGGACUUACGUUUUCGGUUGGAAGACUGUAAUUGUUAGUGGCGGACGGGUGAGCAUCGCGUGGGCAACUUGCAUCAUAAAGGGGGAUAGCAGCUGGCAACGGCUGGGAAGACCGCAUAAGUCGGUGUUAGCGCAUGGUCUUGCCGGGAAAUGCGCAAUCAGGUAUAGGAUGGGGUCGCGUCCGAUUAGCCAGUUGGCAGGGUAAAAGCCUAGCAAAGCAUGGAUCGGUACCCGGGAUGAGAGACCGGGCGGCCACAUUUGCGCUAGGACACAGUCCAGACUCCUACGGAAGGGAGCAGUGGGUGAUAUUGCACGAUGGAGGGAGCGAAGAUGGAGCGACGCCGCGUGAGUGAAGAAGUAUGUCGGUAUGUGCAGCACUAUCAGCAGUGGAGAUGGUGACGUUACCUGACUAAGAAGCCCCGGCUAACUACGUG
This 481-nucleotide ribosomal RNA is filed under the name uncultured bacterium. Its description in RNAcentral is "partial 16S ribosomal RNA". It matches the Rfam family "Bacterial small subunit ribosomal RNA", at positions 28 to 507 of the family's 1533-position model. The record is from RNAcentral.